AGAGUUUGAUCCUGGCUCAGGAUGAACGCUGGCGGCGUGCUUAACACAUGCAAGUCGAACGAAGCACCUUGAUUUGAUUCUUCGGAUGAAGAUCCUGGUGACUGAGUGGCGGACGGGUGAGUAACGCGUGGGUAACCUGCCUCAUACAGGGGGAUAACAGUUAGAAAUGACUGCUAAUACCGCAUAAGACCACAGCACCGCAUGGUGCAGGGGUAAAAACUCCGGUGGUAUGAGAUGGACCCGCGUCUGAUUAGGUAGUUGGUGGGGUAACGGCCUACCAAGCCGACGAUCAGUAGCCGACCUGAGAGGGUGACCGGCCACAUUGGGACUGAGACACGGCCCAAACUCCUACGGGAGGCAGCAGUGGGGAAUAUUGCACAUGGGGGAAACCCUGAUGCAGCGACGCCGCGUGAGCGAUGAAGUAUUUCGGUAUGUAAAGCUCUAUCAGCAGGGAAGAAAAUGACGGUACCUGACUAAGAAGCACCGGCUAAAUACGUGCCAGCAGCCGCGGUAAUACGUAUGGUGCAAGCGUUAUCCGGAUUUACUGGGUGUAAAGGGAGCGUAGACGGAGUGGCAAGUCUGAUGUGAAAACCCGGGGCUCAACCCCGGGACUGCAUUGGAAACUGUCAAUCUAGAGUACCGGAGAGGUAAGCGGAAUUCCUAGUGUAGCGGUGAAAUGCGUAGAGAUCAGGAGGAACAUCGGUGGCGAAGGCGGCUUACUGGGCUUUUACUGACGCUGAGGCUCGAAAGCGUGGGGAGCAAACAGGAUUAGAUACCCUGGUAGUCCACGCUGUAAACGAUGAUUACUAGGUGUGGGGGGAUUGACCCCUUCCGUGCCGCAGUUAACACAAUAAGUAAUCCACCUGGGGAGUACGACCGCAAGGUUGAAACUCAAAGGAAUUGACGGGGGCCCGCACAAGCAGUGGAGUAUGUGGUUUAAUUCGAAGCAACGCGAAGAACCUUACCAGGUCUUGACAUCGAGUGACGUAUCCAGAGAUGGAUAUUUCCUUCGGGACACAAAGACAGGUGGUGCAUGGUUGUCGUCAGCUCGUGUCGUGAGAUGUUGGGUUAAGUCCCGCAACGAGCGCAACCCUUAUCAUUAGUUGCUACGCAAGAGCACCCUAAUGAGACUGCCGUUGACAAAACGGAGGAAGGUGGGGAUGACGUCAAAUCAUCAUGCCCCUUAUGACCUGGGCUACACACGUACUACAAUGGCGAUCGAACAGAGGGAAGCAAGACAGCGAUGUGGAGCCAAUCCCAAAAAAUCGCCCCAGUUCAGAUUGCAGGCUGCAACUCGCCUGCAUGAAGUCGGAAUUGCUAGUAAUCGCAGAUCAGCAUGCUGCGGUGAAUACGUUCCCGGGCCUUGUACACACCGCCCGUCACACCAUGGGAGUCGGUAACACCCAAAGCCGGUCGUCUAACCUUCGGGAGGACGCCGUCUAAGGUGGGAUUGAUGACUGGGGUGAAGUCGUAACAAGGUA
RNAcentral lists this ribosomal RNA (1481 nucleotides) under metagenome. Its description in RNAcentral is "bacterial SSU rRNA". It matches the Rfam family "Bacterial small subunit ribosomal RNA". The record is from RNAcentral.